AGCUGAUCAGCAUGCCGCGUGUGUGAAGAAGGCCUUCGGGUUGUAAAGCACUUUUGUCCGGAAAGAAAUCCUUGGCUCUAAUACAGUCGGGGGAUGACGGUACCGGAAGAAUAAGCACCGGCUAACUACGUGCCAGCAGCCGCGGUAAUACGUAGGGUGCGAGCGUUAAUCGGAAUUACUGGGCGUAAAGCGUGCGCAGGCGGUUUGCUAAGACCGAUGUGAAAUCCCCGGGCUCAACCUGGGAACUGCAUUGGUGACUGGCAGGCUAGAGUAUGGCAGAGGGGGGUAGAAUUCCACGUGUAGCAGUGAAAUGCGUAGAGAUGUGGAGGAAUACCGAUGGCGAAGGCAGCCCCCUGGGCCAAUACUGACGCUCAUGCACGAAAGCGUGGGGAGCAAACAGGAUUAGAUACCCCGGUAGUCAA
RNAcentral lists this ribosomal RNA (422 nucleotides) under Burkholderia cepacia. Its description in RNAcentral is "bacterial SSU rRNA". It matches the Rfam family "Bacterial small subunit ribosomal RNA", at positions 381 to 797 of the family's 1533-position model. The record is from RNAcentral. Lineage: Bacteria; Pseudomonadati; Pseudomonadota; Betaproteobacteria; Burkholderiales; Burkholderiaceae.